AAAAAAAAAAAAAAAAAAGGAAGAGAGAAAACCUAGCCUGACUUUGCCUCUUGGAAAGCUUUAGGUUGCAGCCCUGCCUUCCAAGCAUUCUUUAAACUAGAAAUGUGGGAGGGACUCCAGGGGAGAGAGAGGAGAGGAGAGAGAUGGCUAUCAACUGAAUUCAUUACUGUAAACAUCUCCCUGGGGUGUCAGGCAAGGAGGAAAAAAAGGCACGACUCACAUUAGCAGGGAAUAGUCAGAUCUGAGGCAUCAUUACUGCUAAGAUCAGCCUGCAACGCCGGUUGAAGGCAGGCGCGGCACUCGAAGGGAGCUAGCCGCACGCAUUCACACAUACACUCACAUCUAUGUGCUCGAUGCCUCCUCCGACGUCCAAGGGUCCUGGGUCUCCGUGCCAGCUCCUCAUGUGAUCCUCUCAUCAUUUCUAGAGGACAGAGAGAAGGGGGGCGGGGGGAAAAAAGAAAGCAACGUCCUCGCAGCCCCUUCUCGUUUCUUUUUUACCGGAGAAGGAGGAGCAGCGAGGGAAAGAGGAGCAAAUCGAGGAGAGAAAGUGCGUUGGGGAUGCCAGAGCCGCGGGCUGCGCGCCGUAGGAGGAGGUGGUGGAGAAGGGGGGAGGACGAUGCCGCUGCCUCCUAAGGGAGGAGGGAGGCGCGGGGGCCGCUUCGGAGAGGAGCGGCGGCGGGCAGCGGGCCCCAGGGGCUGGCCAGGAGCGGCAGGCGGCGGCCAGAAGCGAGGAGCAGCGGCGGCAGCGGAAAAGUUUUGGUGUGGGGGGCCAGAAGCGUGGAAGGGGAUUAUGAUCGGUGUCGGCGAGGGAUUCCCAGACGCUGUCAGAAGGUUCUGAGGCAGCCACAGAGGUUUGACUACUGCAUCUGGGACUGCACGCUUGGAGGUCUGCAGCAUGAAAAGUGGUGAAGGUUGCCCUUUGGCCAUUUGGAAGAUUUAUUGGACACUGUAGACCCAGCCAUUGAAGUAGUGCUGGUGAGCAAGAUAGGAGAGAGAUCUAUAAAAUACCUGCUAGUGAGAUAUUAGGUUUUAUUCCUACGUAUUACAAGUUUGUAACUUGGUAGUAUUUUCAGUAAUAUAUUUUAAUUAUUGAAACACGAAUAUUUAUUGAAGCUAAAUUGCAUGGCCUAUGCAAAGCAGGAUGACUGAAGCUUGAAAUUAUGUGGAUGCUCCUCAGCAGUGAAGGGGAGACUAAAAAAACUUUCACCGUUACAACUUCCAGCCAGAUGUUUCAGCCUUUUUAAUAACUUUAAUCAAAGUAUGUGAAAGAAGCAGUUCAGUCUUGAAAAAAUCAAAUUUGAAAUUUUUAUCCAACACUCAAAGCUAGAUAUUAAUUAUGCCAAAAGAAAAUUAAAAUAAAGCCGGUUUGAGAUGACA
Molecule: long non-coding RNA, 1377 nt
Filed under: Phasianus colchicus (ring-necked pheasant)
Lineage: Eukaryota; Metazoa; Chordata; Aves; Galliformes; Phasianidae
Description: lncRNA (ENSPCLG00000005838.1)
Source: RNAcentral